RNAcentral lists this long non-coding RNA (1512 nucleotides) under Homo sapiens (human). Its description in RNAcentral is "HSALNT0291142". The record is from RNAcentral. Lineage: Eukaryota; Metazoa; Chordata; Mammalia; Primates; Hominidae.
GCCAACCAGGGAAAGGCCAGCCCGGGCCUCUCGGGAUCUCAAGCCCUCGGCCUGUGUGUGUGCCAGAGCUUCCCACAGACUCGGGAAGAAGGUGCCGGAGGCUUGCCGGGCGGCCUUGCGGUUUGAAGCAGUGAGUCACCUUCUGGCUGCAAGUCAAGGAACUCUCACUGCGCCCUUGUUUGGACAAGACGAGGAGGCGCACUCAGAGUCAGAGACCCCGGGGCAGAGACAGGGGCAAGAAGAAGGGGCCACCGAGACCCCAAGAGAGUCAGGGAGACAGACGCACCAAACGACCGACACAACCAGGGACAGGCUGGAGUGAAAUGACAUGAUCUCAGCUCACUGAAACUUCUGCCUCCCAGGUUCAAGCAAUUCUCCUGCCUCAGCCUCGCGAGUAGCUGGGAUUACAGAUAUCCUUCGAGUUGGAUUUCGACUGGGUUCUGCCAGUGGGAUGUAUCCAUGCGAGAUUCUGGAACUAACAUCAGAGAGAGUCCAAGCUUCUAACUUUUAUCAGCGGCAGUGACAAUAGUCAAGCAGCAUUGAUGACAAACGGCAAGAGUUUAGAAAGUACCAGUGACGUGCCUGAUAGAAUCUCACCACAAGAUGGAAGCCAACUCGUCAGAAGCCUGGAAAGCCCACCCAGCGUGGGACCUCUGUGGGUCCAGGAUCUUGGAAUGGUAUCCCAUGGUUCAAUCUUCUGGAUUCAACCACAUAAAUUUACCCCACCCAUGUCGUGGACCCAAGCUUCCUACCAUGUAUACUUAGCUUAAAUGCAAGAUAGUACUAUUUUGUUCAUCUUGAUUGGAGUGAGAAAUGAAUAGGUCCAUGCACAUAUAUUUCUUUUACCACAACAAGAUGAUGAAGAAAUAAAUCCAUAAUAUCGAUACUUUUGUAUAAGUUGUGUUUACAGUUGCGGUAAGAAAUUUUAUAAUUGUUGAUUUGCUUUAUAUAAUUUCUGCUUGCUUUUUAUGAUAUUUAAAACAAAAUCUAAGCAACAAAUUUUAUGUCUGAUUAGAUUUACAGAAGCUGCUUAAGUGCUUAGGGAUAAUUUGUUCAUCAUAUUUGUAAGUCUCCCUUGUUAGGUGUUUGAAGUGUUUGAAUUGGCUAAAUUAAAUUUGUAAUUGUAGUUUGAAAUAUCUAAAGGAAUUUUCUUAAUUAAGUGUUUAAAUGAUGUUAAAAGUUUGUGGGAAUUUAAUCUAUCAAAUUUAUGAGUUAAUUGAAUAUGAAUCAAUGAACAAGUAAAUGUGAUCUUGCUUUUAUAUAAAAACUACUAAGUUCAUAAAUAAAAUACAAAGAUCCAUAAGUUGAGAGGAAAAGCAAAAGAGCCAGAUUCUAAGAUCUAUAACUUAAAAAAAUUAAAUAUUGAUUGAAAUGUAAGUCAUUGCAAUUAUCCCCACUAGCUGAAAUCUCACAUCUGAGUGCUUACACACAAAACAAAAUGUUACCCUGAACAUACUAAACAAAUAAAAAACCACGUGGUAAUUACUAUACACAUGCUCACUGCUGGAAGCA